ACAUGGAUAACUGUGGUAAUUCUAGAGCUAAUACAUGCUAAAAAUCCCGACUUCGGAAGGGAUGUAUUUAUUAGAUUAAAAACCAAUGCCCUUCGGGGCUCUCUGGUGAUUCAUAAUAACUGCUCGAAUCGCAUGGCCUUGCGCCGGCGAUGGCUCAUUCAAAUUUCUGCCCUAUCAACUUUCGACGGCUGGGUCUUGGCCAGCCAUGGUGACAACGGGUAACGGAGGGUUAGGGCUCGACCCCGGAGAAGGAGCCUGAGAGACGGCUACUACAUCCAAGGAAGGCAGCAGGCGCGCAAAUUACCCAAUCCCAAUUCGGGGAGGUAGUGACAAUAAAUACUGAUACAGGGCUCUUUUGGGUCUUGUAAUCGGAAUGAGAACAAUUUAAAUCCCUUAACGAGGAACAAUUGGAGGGCAAGUCUGGUGCCAGCAGCCGCGGUAAUUCCAGCUCCAAUAGCGUAUAUUAAAGUUGUUGCAGUUAAAAAGCUCGUAGUUGAACCUUGGGCCUGGCUGGCCGGUCCGCCUCACCGCGUGCACUGGUCCGGCCGGGCCUUUCCCUCUGGGGAGCCGCAUGCCCUUCACUGGGCGUGUCGGGGAACCAGGACUUUUACUGUGAAAAAAUUAGAGUGUUCAAAGCAGGCCUAUGCUCGAAUACAUUAGCAUGGAAUAAUAGAAUAGGACGUGUGGUUCUAUUUUGUUGGUUUCUAGGACCGCCGUAAUGAUUAAUAGGGACAGUCGGGGGCGUCAGUAUUCAAUUGUCAGAGGUGAAAUUCUUGGAUUUAUUGAAGACUAACUGCUGCGAAAGCGUUCGCCAAGGAUGUUUUCAUUAAUCAGGAACGAAAGUUAGGGGAUCGAAGACGAUCAGAUACCGUCGUAGUCUUAACCAUAAACUAUGCCG
Molecule: ribosomal RNA, 898 nt
Filed under: Pleurostoma richardsiae
Lineage: Eukaryota; Fungi; Ascomycota; Sordariomycetes; Calosphaeriales; Pleurostomataceae
Description: SSU rRNA
Rfam family: Eukaryotic small subunit ribosomal RNA
Source: RNAcentral